Molecule: ribosomal RNA, 253 nt
Filed under: uncultured bacterium
Lineage: Bacteria
Description: partial 16S ribosomal RNA
Rfam family: Bacterial small subunit ribosomal RNA
Source: RNAcentral
UACGUAGGGUGCGAGCGUUGUCCGGAAUUAUUGGGCGUAAAGGGCUCGUAGGCGGUUUGUCGCGUCGGGAGUGAAAAUCCAGGGCUUAACUCUGGACUGGCUUCCGAUACGGGCAGACUAGAGGUAUGCAGGGAAGAACGGAAUUCCUGGUGUAGCGGUGAAAUGCGCAGAUAUCAGGAGGAACACCAGCGGCGAAGGCGGCGCUCUGGACCGGUACUGACGCUGAGGAGCGAAAGCGUGGGGAGCGAACAGG